CACGUAGGGGACGAGCGUUGUCCGGAUUCAUUGGGCGUAAAGCGCGCGUAGGCGGCUCGGAAAGUCGGGCGUGAAAUGCCGGGGCUCAACCCCGGGACUGCGUCCGAUACUUCCGGGCUGGAGGUAGGUAGGGGAGAUCGGAAUUCCUGGUGUAGCGGUGAAAUGCGCAGAUAUCAGGAGGAACACCGGUGGCGAAGGCGGAUCUCUGGGCCUUACCUGACGCUGAGGCGCGAAAGCGUGGGGAGCAAACAGG
RNAcentral lists this ribosomal RNA (253 nucleotides) under uncultured bacterium. RNAcentral's name for it is "partial 16S ribosomal RNA". It matches the Rfam family "Bacterial small subunit ribosomal RNA", at positions 524 to 776 of the family's 1533-position model. The record is from RNAcentral.